Molecule: ribosomal RNA, 253 nt
Filed under: uncultured bacterium
Lineage: Bacteria
Description: partial 16S ribosomal RNA
Rfam family: Bacterial small subunit ribosomal RNA
Source: RNAcentral
UACGUAGGCAGCAAGCGUUGUUCGGAUUUACUGGGCGUAAAGAGUGCGUAGGCGGUGCCCUAAGUCUGUUGUGAAAUCUCCCGGCUUAACUGGGAGGGUGCGGUGGAAACUGGGGUGCUUGAGUGUGGGAGAGGUUAGCGGAAUUCCUGGUGUAGCGGUGAAAUGCGUAGAUAUCUGGAGGAACACCGGUGGCGAAGGCGGCAUCCUGGACCGACACUGACACUGAGGAGCGAAAGCCAGGGGAGCAAACGGG